RNAcentral lists this ribosomal RNA (1106 nucleotides) under Saccocalyx microhexactin. Its description in RNAcentral is "eukaryotic LSU rRNA". It matches the Rfam family "Eukaryotic large subunit ribosomal RNA", at positions 872 to 1847 of the family's 3401-position model. The record is from RNAcentral. Lineage: Eukaryota; Metazoa; Porifera; Hexactinellida; Lyssacinosida; Euplectellidae.
AGCUCGUAGCGGGUUCUGACGUGCAAUCGAUCGUCAAAUUUGGGUAUAGGGGCGAAAGACUAAUCGAACCAUCUAGUAGCUGGUUCCCUCCGAAGUUUCCCUCAGGAUAGCUGGAGCCCGAACUAUGUGUGUAGUUUUAUCAGGUAAAGCGAAUGAUUAGAGGUAUUGGGGUUGAAAUGACCUCAACCUAUUCUCAAACUUUAAAUGGGUAAGAGGUGUAGCUUGCUUAAGUGAAGUUACACGAUUGAUUUCUCGUGGAAUACAGGGGCUCUUAGUGGGCCAUUUUUGGUAAGCAGAACUGGCGAUGCGGGAUGAACCGAACGCUGGGUUAAGGUGCCCAAGUCAACGCUCAUGAGAUCCCAUGAAAGGUGUUGGUUGAUACAGACAGCAGGACGGUGGCCAUGGAAGUCGGAAUCCGCUAAGGAGUGUGUAACAACUCACCUGCCGAAUCAACUAGCCCUGAAAAUGGAUGGCGCUCAAGCGUUGCACCUAUCCCCGGCCGCCGUGUGGAGAUGGCCAGUGCUGGUGACACGGCGUGUAGGAGGGCGCAGGGCUGUGUGUUGGUAUGCUGUGCAGGCUGGUGCGUGAGCCCGGCUGAAGCUGGCCCUGGUGCAGAUCUUGGUGGUAGUAGCAAUUAUUCAAAUGAGAACUUUGAAGGCCGAAGUGGAGAAGGGUUCCACGUGAACAGCAUUUGGACGUGGGUGAGUCGGUCCUAAGAGAUGGGCGAAAGCCUGGUUAGUAAGGGUGCAGAUGUGCUGCCUCUCAGGGGGUAGUAUGUCCGGUUGGUUCUUCGGGGCCACGGUGGCACCAGCUCUCGAAAGGGUAUCGGGUUAAUAUUCCCGAACCAGACACCUGGAUGCUGCUCGUGGUGGAGCACGGCAACGUAUAUGUGUGUAUACUCGGCGACGCUUGCGAUAGCCCUGGGAAGAGUUGUCUUUUCUUCUUAACCGUACCAACCGUGUGCACAGCCCUGGAAGCAGUUUACCUUGAGAGAGGGCUGGAGGUCGGGUAAAGCGCUGCACUUAUUGCAGCGUCCAGUGCGCUGUCGAGAGCCCCUGAAAAGCUGAGUCAGGACUGGACCAUGUUAGUCUCGUGUCUGGCCGUAC